Molecule: ribosomal RNA, 492 nt
Filed under: uncultured bacterium
Lineage: Bacteria
Description: bacterial SSU rRNA
Rfam family: Bacterial small subunit ribosomal RNA
Source: RNAcentral
GGCUCAGGAUUAACGCUAGCGGCAGGCAUAAUACAUGCAAGUUGAACGAGUAUUAGUUUUAGCAAUAGAACUAGUUUAGUGGCGCACGGGUGCGUAACGCGUAUGCAACCUACCUUAAACAGGGGAAUAGCCUCUCGAAAGAGAGAUUAAUACCGCAUAACAUAUAUUUAGAGCAUUCUAGAUAUAUCAAACCUACGGGGGUUUAAGAUGGGCAUGCGUGACAUUAGCUAGUUGGUGAGGUAACGGCUCACCAAGGCAACGAUGUCUAGGGGGUCUGAGAGGAUGUCCCCCCACACUGGUACUGAGACACGGACCAGACUCCUACGGGAGGCAGCAGUAGGGAAUAUUGGUCAAUGGAGGCAACUCUGAACCAGCCAUGCCGCGUGCAGGACUAAGGCCCUAUGGGUCGUAAACUGCUUUUGAAUGGGAAGAAAUGUAUCUACGUGUAGAUAUUUGACGGUACCAUUAGAAUAAGGAUCGGCUAACUUCGUG